This 6711-nucleotide long non-coding RNA is filed under the name Populus tremula. RNAcentral describes it as "long non-coding RNA (PTRE_LNC002487)". Lineage: Eukaryota; Viridiplantae; Streptophyta; Magnoliopsida; Malpighiales; Salicaceae. The record is from RNAcentral.
UUGAAAGUAAAUUUGGUUUUUUUCCCGGGCUGUUUUUAAUUUUUUCUUUUCUGGGAGCUUUGUUGAAAAUUAAGAACUUCAUGGGUGGUAGGUCUCCUCCACUUGAAAUUUACUUGCUUAAUUAGUUAGUAUUUCUGUUUGUUGACCUAUCUAUCCACAAUAUGGUCCAAUAUUUCUUAAUUUCAUGCAUUCAAGUACUACAUGGUAAUGUGAAUGGUGUUGCUGCUGAAAUCCCAUUGAUUUUUCAUCUAAUAUAUAUAUAUAUAUAUAUAUAUAUAUAAAAGCAUAGAACAAACAAAGAAGAAUGAUUAAGAUGGUGGGCAAUUUGGUACUUACCAUCUUGAUUGAUUCCUGGGUACUGGCCAUGUUUUAAAUUUUGCUUUUCAAGGUUUUGUUUCCAGUCAGGGAAAGAAGGUUGCCAGGCUGGGAAAGGUAGGAGUGGCUACGCUGAUUUUAUUUUUUAAAAAAAUUAUUUUUAAUAGUAAAAAUAAUUUUAAAUAAAACAAUUAAUUUUUUUAAAACACCGUUUGCAAAUUUGCAUUAUGCAAUUUCAAAAUGAUCAAUGAUUGGAGCCCAUUUGCGGAAGAUCGGAGCCCCGGUUGCGGUGGCACUGUGGCAGGGAGGUUGUCUUUUAAGGUGGGUUUUUACUUUUUAGGAUUAUAUUAAUAUUUGUUUUUUUUAUUUGAGAAUAUAUUAAAAUAAUAUAUAUUUUUGUUUUUUUAAAUAUAAAAAAUUAAUUUUUUAAAACGCCGAUUAGAAAGUUCGGAGCCCCAGUUGUGGUGGAACUGUAGCAGGGAGCUUGUGCCUUUUAUUGUAUUUUGACCUAUUUGCCCGAAGAUAUUUCGUUGAUAUCAACAGUAAAGCUGUGGGCAGUCUGGGCAAAGCAGUUUUGUGUCCCAACAUUUUGCUUAUCCUUGCAUGAAGGUAAGGUGCUUGACUGCUGUCUGGUCGUGAAUUCACAUGGGAGAUUUUUAUUAUUGUAGUACGGGUGUUUAAAAAAAUCGAGAAAAUAAAAAAAAUUAAAGAAAAAAUAAUUGAAAAUUUUAAAUAGAGAUAAAAAAUUGAUUAAAUUAAUUUUUAAAACUAUAAAAUCUUGUUUGUUUGAUUUUGAUUUUAAAAUAAAAACCAAUGAACUAAACCAAGCCAACUAAAAAACAAAAAGGGUUAUAAAUACUGCAAUUAACUUAACAAUAACAUAACUGAUAACACAAAAAGCCGUUGCCCUCCAUUUUCAAUCUCAAAACUCAAAAGCUAAGCCAUCCCACCCACAAUCCCGAACAAAAACCUACAUCUCCAAAGUUUUUUUUUUAUUUUCUGCGCAACACCUCCAUCUCCUGCACAAGCCGAACAAAAACUAAUAUCUUCAUUUCCUUGGCUUCUUUCUUUAUUUUUGUGCAAGUUACUGGGAAGAUCUGCUUUGUCUUCUUGUCAAAUGGGCAACUUUAAAUCGGUGGCCUGGUAAAAAGUGCGAUUACAACUAGUGCCCGUGAAAGAAGGCUAGCUUUCUCAAUUUAGUUUGUCAUUUUCUUUUAUUUUGUAAAUUUCUUUACCAACAAAUAUUCUUAUUAAUCAGAUGUUAUAUUUGCAGGAUUUGAACAACAAGAUUCUGGUUAAACCGAAAAAACUCAUAUAUGAUAGGAUUAGAUUUCCCGGCUUCAUGGCCAAAAACCAAAUUUCACCAAACCGAUUCAAUUUGAAUUGAUUUUCAAUCCGGUUCGGUUUAACUUUUUUAAAAUUUAAAUUACUUAGUUUGGUUGGUUUUUGUAAUUCAAACCAAACCGAACCGUGAACAAUCCUAUACGGUACUAUGAUAUCCAAGAUUAUAUUUACUGUGCACGUCACUUAUAAUCAAAUGACACUUACAUCAACAGUAAAGUAGUUGUAAGCAUGCUAAGGCUUCUUUGCACAGGAAUUUUAAUAAAUUUUGUUUUUUCUAUUUAAUGUUUUUUUUAAUAUUUUUUUUAUUAGUGUUAAAAAUAAAUUUAGAAAAAUAAAAAAAUAUUAUUUUAAUAUACUUUUAAAAAAUAUUUUAAAAAGCAAAUUCAAUUAUAUUUUUUAAUUCUUAAAUACACUCGUUUGAUAUCAUGAUUUUUUUAAAAUAUGAUAAAAAUUUUUUAAAAUUUUUUUAAUAUGGUUCAUUAAAGCUAUUAAAAAAUAUUAAAAAUAUUUUUUAAACUGAAAUAUAUUUGCUAACAAUCAAUUUCAAAUGCAAAAAUAAACGACAAAGACGGAGAAUCUUGGAGAUUGAAUGGGACUGCCACCAUCAAUAUUGAGUGUGGAAUGUUAGGAGGUGAAGGUGAGAUCAAUAUCAUCAAUAUUUAUGGUGCUUCACCAUAUUUGAGCAUCGGCUUGCCAUAAAUAUCAAGGCAAGGGAUGCUCUAAUUGUGGCGGAAGCAAGACCAGGCAUGGAGCACGUGGCUGGUGGUCUGAAAUGGUGGGGGAGAUGCCUGACUUGUCUCCACGAACUACGUCCCCUUUCAUUACAGUCAUUGGAUCUUGUUAGAAAGCUGCCACAACAUUCAAGCCAGACGACACUCUUGCUAUAAAAAGCCGAUCGACCUCCGUUGAUCUGAGAAACUUAAGACUUGAAAUAUAAUUUUAAAUGAGGUUUUAGUUAUUUAAUUGGAAUUAACUAGCUCAAAUCUAAUUAGAUCAUUGAGAAGGACAAAUUAGUAUGAUUUUAAUAAAAAUAAUUGAUUUAGGUUAACUGACAACUCUAUAAUAUAUAAUUUUUUAGUUUUAUUAUUGCAAAUCUAUAACGGAUGUUAAGAUACUUGAAGUAUCUAGUUCAAAAUUAAAUAAUGUAUAAAAAUCAUAUAAUUAUCAAAUAAAUUAAGAUGAAAGACAAACCAAAACUUUUUAAUUUAGUCACCGGUACGAUAUUACAAGUAUGUUAUCAAAGUAUUAUAGUACAGAGAUUAUUAAAUCAUUCAUAAUAAUAUUAUUGUAUUAAAAUAAGUUGCUGAUGAUUAAACCAAGACAUAAUCAGUUCGUCUUUUGGAGACGACAUGCAUUAGAGGUGAGCAAAAAAAUCGAGAAACCGAAAAAACCGAGAAAACCAAGAAAAAAAUAACCGAAAAAACCGAACCGAAAAAAAAAACCGAUUAAACCGAUUAAAAUUUUGAAAAAACCGACCGGUUCGGUUCGGUAUCGGUUUUAGGCUUAUAAAACCGAAAAAACCGAACCGAACCGAAAAAAAACCCGAAAAAAAACCGAGCCAAACCGGAAAAAAACCGAGCCAAAACCGGAAAAAAAUGAGCCAAAACCGAAAAACCGAGCCAAGCCGGUUUUUCCCCUAAAAAAACCGAACCGAACCGAAACCGGCCGGUUCGAACCGGUUUCGGUUUUUUUUUCCCAAAAAAAAAAAAUUUCGGUUUGGUUACUUUUUUUGAUAAAAACCGAACCGAACCGGUUUUGCUCACCCCUAACAUGCAUCGUCUACAUCAUAUUGUUUAAUGCAGCAAAUCAAUAUUAUGCUACAAGCCAUCUUAGAGAUACAAUAACUUAGGCUAUAUUUGCCAUAACUUUAUAAAAUGGCACCGCUUAUAAAGCUCUCAUACUGUGCUUUUACUGUACUAGAAGAUCAUGCAUGAUAUAAGAUUAAAAUAGACCAUGUUGUAAAUAUAACUAUUCUAAUAUAUCAAAUCAUCAAAUGCGAGGAUCAUAGCAUAUAGAGAUGUAGGUUUUACCGGCCAUUUAAAUCACUAUUAAAACUUGUCACGUUUGGUCAUGAAACAUGGAGGUGCCAUUGUGCCAAAACCUUAGUAUUAACAGUGAAUAUUUGUAAUCCUGAAGGGUGUAGUUUAAUUAGUCAGGUCCGGGUUUGUUUUUUUAGGUCAUCAAUUCGAAUCUCAUAAAUUCCAUGACCACUAGAGACUUACAUGUUCGUUAAAUACAUUGACCUAGACACCCAUAUUAUUAAUAAAAAAAAAACAAUGAAUAUUUAUAGGUUAAUAGGUUGAGACACAUACAUGAAAAAUCCAAAAUAAUUAUUGAUGAAUAUGGUAAUAGAAAAAAAUCACAAAAAAUAUAAAAUUUAACAUGGUUGGAUAAUAUGCUUACUUCCAUAAGAGUAAAGAGCAUUUACUUUUUAUUAUGUUAAAAUAAAAUUACAUGGUACAUAUUUACAAUAAAUGCGUAUUAAUUUCAAUACUUAAUGUAAAUUAAAGUUAAAAAAAUUACAUUUAAUUGUUUUUUAAAAUAUAUAAGUUUGAAGGUAAUACAUGUUAAAUGUUAAAUAUAGUUUUUUAUAUUUUAUCUUGUUUUAUAUAUCACCAAUCAAACAAAUAUAUAAAAACAAUUAUUUUAUAUUACACACCACUAAUAAAUACAAUUUUAUCUUCAUCUCUUGUUUUGUCAUGUCUUCUUUGUCCUUGUAAUGUUCACCUUUUCUGUUAACCAAAUUAUACCCUAGUUCUUCUUACUUGGACUAAAGUUGAUGGCACUAACAUAGAUGCGUGCCUUUUAAGAAAAAAAUUAUAGUGUAUUUGAAGUAUCUAUUGACCCAAUACUUAGUUAUUAUUUUAGUUCAUUUUAAAGAAAGAGAAAAAAAUAAAAUUUAUAGCCCUUAAAAAAUAAUAAAAAUACUUACAUCUAGAAUUUAUGUUUUUUAUAUCUAUAUAUAUUUUUCAAAAUGAACCUAAAAAAUAAAUAAUUGAAUUAAAUUAAAAAUGUUUACCUAACGACAGCUUGCUGGCACGAAUUGAGGUCAGGGUGACUUCACUUUUUUCUACUUAGAUAAUUAUGUUUUUCCAAUGACACAUCACCAGGAUUGCAUCGUUUUCUUCUAACAGCAAGCAAGGACUUUUCUCUAAAUUUUAUAAGAUUUCUCUUGUAAUUUACUAAUUUUUCUUGAAAUUAAGUAGAUCAUGAAGUAUAUAUUUGUUAUUAUGAUUACAGUUUUAAAAAAUAAAAUUUUAAAAAGUUAUGAAUAGCAGAUUUUUUUAAUUAAAUUUUUAUUUUUUUAUUAAGAUACAUAUAAAAUUAUAAUAUAUAUUAAUUAACUUAAUACAUUUAAAAUUACAAUUAAAAUCGCAUACCAAACUGACAUAAAAUAUAACUUCAUAUUUUAAAUUAUUUUAAAAAAUAUCAAAAUAAUACAUUCUUUAUAUAUAUAUAUAUAUAUAUAUAUAUAUAUAUAUAUAUAAACAAAUGCAGCGUCGGCAUAUAAAUCCAGCUGCAGGUUUUCGCUCCUUGGUCUUUGAUUCUUGCCUGUCUCCCUCUCUUGCCCUUCAAACAACUACAGCCACAUCCUGAAGCGUGUCCCUCGAGAUUCUAUAAAAUUAAAAAAUCAUUUCUUUUUCUCAAGCCUCCAAAAAUAUAAGCAGACAAAAUUCUAGUGAUUCAUUAUUUUGUGCUCAAACUUUACUCGCCCUCCAUUAUUGUUUUUCUUCUACAAUCAACAAACACCAUCUUCAUCUUCAACAAUCCCAGCCAAAAAUCAUGCUUGCAGAAUCCAUAUCAAUCUGGGCUUCUAUGAAUAGUUGGUUAACCCCAGCUGUUUUCUUUGUUCUUCUCAAUCUAAUGAUUGGCACCAUUUUUGUAUCUUCAAGACUAGCCACCCAGAAACCUGGUGACCAACGUCAAGAACAAGAAAAACAUGUUCAAGCACAGUAUGGUCAUGGUUACCAGCUUACUAGAUCUCCUUCUGUACUACAAAGACUCAAAUCUAUCAGCUUACAUAGCUAUAGAUCGCAAGAACCUACAACCGUAAAUUUCGAAAAAACUCAAGACUCUGACCAACGUUUCACUUUUCAUCAACAAACCUCUCAACAAGAUUAUCAAUACCACGAAAAUCAAAACCAGCCAACUAUUUCUAGUUCUCCUUCGAUUUUGCAAAAAAUCAAGUCCAUCAACAUUUAUAGUUACUUAUCUCAAGAAUCAUUUAAUCCCACCAGUACCAAAAACCCACGAAAACCAAGAAAGCACGCCAACCCAUUUCACUUCUCAACAAAUUUAUAGCCAAUACAAGAACAUGAUGAACGGCUCCGAGAACAAGAAGAGGAGGAUAGCUUUCAAGACGAAGAAAACGAGCAAAUCCAAGGCCAAGAACAGACUUUUGAUCAGGUAUACAGCAAGUUAGAGGGAAGUAAACUGAGCAAAUCCAUUUCAGAUACAAAACCAGCUUCCGGUGAAGUACCCAAAAAGCUACCAAAGAAAAUGAGGAAAUCUGCAAGCUCAAAAUCUGCCUUUUCUCAUUUUGAAGAGGAUGACAUCGUUGAAUCUCGCAGGCCAGCUACCGUGAGAGAAGGGAAGACCACCACUGAGGUUGGUGACACUGAAGUGGAUGCUAAAGCUGAUGAUUUAUAAACAAAUUUAAGCAGCAGCUGAAGUUGCAGAGGAUGGAUUCUAUUAUAAGGUACAAAGACACGAUUACCGGAGGGAGUUGAAAGUAAAUUUGGUUUUUUUCCCGGGGCUGUUUUUAAUUUUUUCUUUUCUGGGAGCUUUGUUGAAAAUUAAGAACUUCAUGGGUGGUAGGUCUCCUCCACUUGAAAUUUACUUGCUUAAUUAGUUAGUAUUUCUGUUUGUUGACCUAUCUAUCCACAAUAUGGUCCAAUAUUUCUUAAUUUCAUGCAUUCAAGUACUACAUGGUAAUGUGAAUGGUGUUGCUGCUGAAAUCCCAUUGAUUUUUCAUCUAAUAUAUAUAUAUAUAUAUAUAUAUAUAUAUAUAUAAAAGCAUAGAACAAACAAAGAAGAAUGAUUAAGAUGGUG